AAAUGGGUGAGAGAGAGCGGAAGAGAGAGAGGUAGACAGUGGGAGAGGGAGAGAGAGAGAGACAGGACCAACACUCUGGACAGCAAAUGGGUGAGAGAGAGCGGAAGAGAGAGAGGUAGACAGUGGGAGAGGGAGAGAGAGAGACAGGACCAACACUCUGGACAGCAAAUGGGUGAGAGAGAGCGGAAGAGAGAGAGGUAGACAGUGGGAGAGGGAGAGAGAGAGACAGGACCAACACUCUGGACAGCAAAUGGGUGAGAGAGAGCGGAAGAGAGAGAGGUAGACAGUGGGAGAGGGAGAGAGAGAGACAGGACCAACACUCUGGACAGCAAAUGGGUGAGAGAGAGCGGAAGAGAGAGAGGUAGACAGUGGGAGAGGGAGAGAGA
Molecule: long non-coding RNA, 386 nt
Organism: Oncorhynchus tshawytscha (Chinook salmon)
Lineage: Eukaryota; Metazoa; Chordata; Actinopteri; Salmoniformes; Salmonidae
Source: Ensembl